UACGUAGGGUGCGAGCGUUAAUCGGAAUUACUGGGCGUAAAGCGUGCGCAGGCGGUUGGCAAAGUCAGCUGUGAAAGCCCCGGGCUCAACCUGGGAAUUGCAUUCGAGACUGCAUAGCUAGGGUGCGGAAGAGGGAAGCGGAAUUUCCGGUGUAGCGGUGAAAUGCGUAGAUAUCGGAAGGAACACCAGUGGCGAAAGCGGCUUCCUGGUCCAGCACCGACGUUCAGGCACGAAAGCGUGGGGAGCAAACAGG
Molecule: ribosomal RNA, 253 nt
Filed under: uncultured bacterium
Lineage: Bacteria
Description: partial 16S ribosomal RNA
Rfam family: Bacterial small subunit ribosomal RNA
Source: RNAcentral